CAACAAUAUAUAUAUAUAAACUUUACCUUAACCUAUACGAUGCAGUUCUGGAUCAGCCGGUGCGACAAGCUUGAGAUCGCAGGGGAUCCGAUAUCUUGAGAAAAGUAAAUAUUCAAGAUUAUAAGAAUAAUAGGUAUAACGAAGAAAGGUCUUAUAUUCUCUGUCAAAGUUUGCAUUCGUCGAGAAGCCGCGGUAAUACCUACAAGUUACCCUCAAGACGAUUUCUUGUGGUCGUUCGAACGUAUUUUUUCGAAUCGAUUGGGUUCAGAGGUAAAAUGUUUCUGCAUUUUUAUUGCGUGGAUUCUAAUUGGCCGACUCGUGGAUACCGAUGGUCCCCCAACAUUUGCUGCGUAAACUCUUCAUUUCGAUGCCGGAGGGAUGAGAAUGAUGACUCUAACAGCUCUGCGAAUGACGAAGGAUGAGGAAGGAUGACGAACGUUGCCAGAGAACUACGUUAAAUUCUCUCUAAUUGAUGAUUCGCUGAAAUGAUAAGAAAAUAGACGAAUGUAGUUUCCACAUAUUGCAAUCGACGAAGACAAUUUUUAUUUUGCAUAAAGAUCUGCAGUCUGUCCAUCGAUAAGGCUAAGCCACGCAACAACGUCCGCGAUUCUACUCUUAGUAUUUCCAUGUUUAAGCACAAGUGAUAUAGAGGAUAGAAUUUGCCCGGCUUACAAAGGGGCGUAUAGUACCGAACUCGGCUUUCUGUGAUUUUGCUCUUUUAUCGAAACACGAAGUUCACGUUCAAUUUUUCACGCGGAAUUGUUUAUAUUUGUUCCCCAAUUCGGAUAAAGCAUUAAAUUCUGCAUAAGAAGGUAUGAUACCAAAUAGGACCUAAAAAUAAAUGGUUACCGAAAUAUUAGUAAAAAUAAAUUACUAAUAGAACAUAAUGUAACAGAAAAGAUCGCUUAUUAGCAGACUACGGAUUCUAUGCAUUCAUGACAAAAACGAUCAUUUGCAAUGUCGAACAGUGGAAACAUUAAAAACAAUAAAUAGCGCCAAUGUACAAAAAUGGACAAUCCGAGCGUCAAUUAGGGCGAAUUUACUGCACCGGUACUAUUGAGAAAAGAA
Molecule: non-coding RNA, 1068 nt
Organism: Megalopta genalis
Lineage: Eukaryota; Metazoa; Arthropoda; Insecta; Hymenoptera; Halictidae
Source: RefSeq, a predicted model, not a curated record